AGGAGGAACAACCGCAGUGGCUGUGGCCAGCUCUGGAGCCCUGGAUUCAGCCCCCGCAGGAACUCCGGAGCUCUCCGUCUGCAGGGCCUGGAGGCUCCGGGGCGGG
RNAcentral lists this microRNA precursor (106 nucleotides) under Canis lupus familiaris (dog). RNAcentral's name for it is "mir-8834 microRNA precursor family". It matches the Rfam family "mir-8834 microRNA precursor family". The record is from Rfam by way of RNAcentral. Lineage: Eukaryota; Metazoa; Chordata; Mammalia; Carnivora; Canidae.